GACGAACGCUGGCGGCGUGCCUAAUACAUGCAAGUUGAACGCUUCUUUCUUAUCGAACUUCGGUUCACCAAGAAAGAGGAGUAGCGAACGGGUGAGUAACACGUGGGUAUCCUGCCCAUCAGCGGGGGAUAACACUUGGAAACAGGUGCUAAUACCGCAUAAUGCUUUUUCUCACAUGAGAGAAAGCUGAAAGGCGCUUUUGCGUCACUGAUGGAUGGACCCGCGGUGCAUUAGCUAGUUGGUAGGGUAACGGCCUACCAAGGCAACGAUGCAUAGCCGACCUGAGAGGGUGAUCGGCCACACUGGGACUGAGACACGGCCCAGACUCCUACGGGAGGCAGCAGUAGGGAAUCUUCGGCAAUGGACGAAAGUCUGACCGAGCAACGCCGCGUGAGUGAAGAAGGUUUUCGGAUCGUAAAACUCUGUUGUUAGAGAAGAACAAGGAUGAGAAGAGAAUGU
This 459-nucleotide ribosomal RNA is filed under the name Enterococcus italicus. RNAcentral's name for it is "bacterial SSU rRNA". It matches the Rfam family "Bacterial small subunit ribosomal RNA", at positions 28 to 465 of the family's 1533-position model. The record is from RNAcentral. Lineage: Bacteria; Bacillati; Bacillota; Bacilli; Lactobacillales; Enterococcaceae.